Molecule: unclassified non-coding RNA, 724 nt
Filed under: Hevea brasiliensis (rubber tree)
Lineage: Eukaryota; Viridiplantae; Streptophyta; Magnoliopsida; Malpighiales; Euphorbiaceae
Source: RNAcentral
GGGGAAUCAGUAAGUAUUGUUAACUUUCUCACGUAAUUUUGAGACAAAAGAAAAAAGGUAUCUUCCCAAAAAGUGGAUCAAAUUUUGAUUAUUUACGGAACGAAAAAAAUACAAAUUAUGAUAAAAAUUAACACAAAAUGAUAAUGAAGUUCCAAAUCCACAAUCAUUUUAGCUAAAUUUCAUUAACUAAAUAGUGGAUCAGUUAUAAACACAAAAUUAACAUUUUUCACCUAAAAGAAAAAUCGGAAUUCAUUUCUUCACUCUAAAGAACCCAAAGAACAAGCGAAUCAAACUCAAGAAUAUCGAAUAACUCAUGAAUAAGUUAUCAUAGAAAAUAAUAUGACAAAUAAACACACAAUUAUCUAAACAAAACAACAAAAUUUAUCACCGAUCACAACCAAAGAGGGAAAGAAACAAGAAUUGCGUUGAAUAAUUGAUCAAUUCAAGAAAAUGGAGUUGCAAAGAACCAGAUCCGUGACUACUUGCAGCGAUAAGAUCAAGAUAUCCACAUGCAUAAGCUAAUAAGCAUAUCAAUUUAUCUGUGUGGAGAAAUAAAAGAGAGAAAGGGAGUGAAGGUACCUCAUAAACCAAGACGAGAAGGGAUCGGAGAAGCGAAGAGUGUCUCUGAGAUUUGGGAGACUGAGAUUUUUAGAGAGAGAGAAGAGGGGAAGGAAGGGAGGGAGAAAAUGGGAUUUGGUGCGGUGGGUUUGGACAGUGAUGAUAA